Herpailurus yagouaroundi (jaguarundi) is the source of this 1207-nucleotide long non-coding RNA. RefSeq lists it as uncharacterized. NCBI's taxonomy places the organism in Eukaryota, Metazoa, Chordata, Mammalia, Carnivora, Felidae. The transcript is spliced from 3 exons. The record is from RefSeq and is a predicted model, not a curated record.
UGGGAAGGUAAAUGAGACCCUAUUCUGAAAGCGCGCAGCACGUAGAGAGAACUGGGGCCGCAACCCCGCUAUCUGUAUGGUCUUGUCUCUCUGGGCCAUUGUCCCUCAGACUGCCUCUGCAAAGAAGCACAGACUGGUGCCAUGGAAAGCCCGCAAGGAGAGGUCCCGUGGAAAGGCCUGGCGUAGGUAUUGUAGCCAAUAGCCCAGUCGUCUCAGCAAACACGAUGACCCUGAUCUUCUGUGGCCAGAGGGGCAUCUUCCUCCCUUACAGGACCUGGAACUGACACACCUUCCCUCAGCUCCCAAAUACUGCCCCCCAGCACCCGCUGAAUGACAGCACCUCCCCCCAGCACCCGCUGAGUGACAGCACUGACCCCCAGCACCCGCUAAGGGACAGCACCACCCCCCAGCACCUGCUGGGUGACAGCACCGCCCCCCAGCACCCGCUGAGUGACAGCACUGACCCCCAGUACCCGCUGAGUGGUCAGGGUGUUAUCAAUGCUCUCACCCAAAUCUGAGCACUGACACCUCUCUACAUUUGGGAGAUGACAGAAGCCCCUCCAAGCUCUGUCUGCAUGGGACGCUGCCUGGCCCACUGGCUCCCCCGGGUGCUGCUGUUCAUUCUUCUUGGACCGCUGCACCUGGUGAGAGGUGAGCUUCCUUGUGCCUCCUCUUUGGCACUUCCAGACCUGUCUCUUUCCUAGCACAAAAGCCCCAGAUUUGAACCUCAUAUCAUCAGAUCUUGUUGAAGUUGUCUGCAUGCCUGGGGGCUUCCCUAAAAUCCUUCCUGUUUUACUCCUGAUUCCCUGUCACUUUCCCCAACCACUCCUGUCAUAGUUCCUGGUGAUCUCAGAAUCUACAGGGGAUUCUCCAACCUUCUGUACAUCCUCCCCUUCAGCAGUCCUGUCACCUUCCCAGCUGGCCAGGGUCCUUCUCACAACUGCAGCCUCUCCACAGUCUAACCUCAAGGCCCACAUUCUCUGACGAGUCCCCAACCUUGCAGCUCAUGCCCUCCACUCCCCUUUAGCCCCUCCGAGAUCUGCGGUCCUUGGAUAAGACCCAGGUUAGUACUUUCUCAUCCCCUGAUGGCCUUUCCCUCCUCUGUAUCAAGAGAGACUCUCCAGAUCAGCCACUGUGCCUGCUCCCUAACCCUACCCCCCUCCUCUUGCUUCAUCAUAUUCACUCGGCCAAGCCAUAACCCAUGUUA